GACAGAGGGUGCAAACGUUGUUCGGAAUUACUGGACGUAAAGCGUGUGUAGGCGGUCCGCUAAGUCGGGUGUGAAAGCCCUGGGCUCAACCCAGGAAGUGCACUCGAAACUGGCGGGCUAGAGUAUCGGAGAGGUUGGUGGAAUUCUCGGUGUAGAGGUGAAAUUCGUAGAUAUCGAGAGGAACACCGGUGGCGAAGGCGGCUAUCUGGACCGACAUUGACGCUGAGGCGCGAAAGCGUGGGGAGCAAACAGG
RNAcentral lists this ribosomal RNA (253 nucleotides) under uncultured bacterium. RNAcentral's name for it is "partial 16S ribosomal RNA". It matches the Rfam family "Bacterial small subunit ribosomal RNA", at positions 524 to 776 of the family's 1533-position model. The record is from RNAcentral.